CGGUCACUGAACUGGUCAAGGCACAGGUUCAAAGUUUAUUGGUCCAACCGUAGUUCAACCAGUAGUUCAACCGAGGUUGAACCGGUAGUAAUUAAGUAUUGUUUUUAAUAUUUAUAUAACAUAAAAACUAAUAUGAACACAUAUCCACAAAAUUCAUAUCUUAAAAUAAACAUUAUUAAAUAUUGUUUUUUUAAACGUUACUUUAUAAAAUAUUGUUAACAUUAUUUAUACAACUUUUAAAAAAUAAAAUGCAUUAGGACGUAGGUUUUUUUUAACAAGCUUUAGUUUUUUUAUAUAAGCAAGCAUCUUGUUUUUUUGGGCUUGGUAUUAUAGGCCCAGUUUCCCAACACUUUAAAGCAUAGGCUGUAAAUAUUUUUUUGUCAAGAACUGUAGGUGUUUUUAGCAAAUGGAAGUUGUAGUUUUUAAGCCCAUCAAUAACCCUAAUGUAUUUUUCUUAUGUCAUAUGGGGAGAUAUGCAGCCGUCAUAUUCCCUUCCCCCAUUCUGUUGUAUCCCUCUUCCUCUUCUUUCAUUUCUUCUACAAAUUUCUUUUCCACUAUUCAUAAAAGUUGAAUAUUGGUGUUAAAAUGAAACUAUCUUUUAUGUUGAGAUAGAGGGAGUGCCGGAGUGGUUGCUAAGAAUAGUAGAAGAGCUUGCAAGAGAAGAGAAGGGUUUAUUUCUCUGAUUUUUUUCAUUUUUCUGGUUUCAGAUUGCACAAAACUGCAGCAGCUUUGGAGCUUUCUAUGAACCGGUUGAAACCGGUAAACCACCGGUUUUUAUCGGUUUACCCGGUUUAACACCGGUUUCACCGGUCGUUUUUCAUUCCGCCGGUUAAAGAGGCAUUCCGGACCGGGGUAUGGUCCGGUUGAACCGGUCGAACCGGCCGGUCCGGUCUGGUUUCAGAACAUAUUAAAUCUAUUUCAUUUCAUCCAUUAUUAAAAAUUCCCUGUUAGAUUUAAAUUCAUCAUGAUCCAUGAAUAGCCAAAACUAAAACACAAAUUCAUAAACUAAUGUACCAUCCUUGGAGUUGCCCUUAAUGGAAACCAAAUUACCUCUUUCUGGUUCCAGAAACGUGAUCACCACUCGCAAGAUAAUGCUUACUUUACGUAUUUUGCUUAGGUAUGUUUUUAACUAAUAUCUCUAAUGUAUUAUUUUCUUCUCAGUCAUUGUUGUCUAUAUUUUUUAUCAUAUGUCCUAAUUCUAUAAAAGAAGUGAUGUACAACUUAAUAUUACUUCACCUUGCUAAUUAAUUGGUUGACAUCUUAUGGCUAUUAAGUUUUUACUGGAUUAUCCUGAAUCUCUAUAAUGGGUAAGUCAACACAAUGAUACUAUUUGAAAAUCACAAUUAGUUAUCCUAUAUGUUAUUAUUUAAUGUGGAAAGAAAAUUUAAUUUUAUGUGUGUUCCUUAACUUCUUUUUGAUUGUUUUUUCAUUUAGAUUGAUGCAAAACAAGAAGUCAUUUCUCAUGCUAAAGCCUGAAUAAAAUUGAGAUUGGAACCUGCGCUGCCACCACCCUUGGAACACAAAUCGUGUGCCACAAUAAGAGUGAUGAAUCACAAAUCGUGAUUGGAUUGCCGUCUACCCUUCAUAAAACAUAUUGGUCGAACACAAUUUUUGACUGAUUGAUUCGAUCAAUCACUCAUUUAUCAUGGAAUGAGGUAUGGCUGAUCUCUUUCAACUCGAAAACUUGAUGAGGAUGCAAUUGGCUUGGAUUCAACGGUGAAUGACUUCUUUGCAAGUACUUCAUUUUUUUUUUAUAGAUUCCACUGUACGAAC
Lotus japonicus is the source of this 1773-nucleotide long non-coding RNA. RefSeq lists it as uncharacterized. The record is from RefSeq and is a predicted model, not a curated record. The transcript has 3 exons. Lineage: Eukaryota; Viridiplantae; Streptophyta; Magnoliopsida; Fabales; Fabaceae.